Molecule: ribosomal RNA, 253 nt
Filed under: uncultured bacterium
Lineage: Bacteria
Description: partial 16S ribosomal RNA
Rfam family: Bacterial small subunit ribosomal RNA
Source: RNAcentral
CACGUAGGGUGCGAGCGUUGUCCGGAAUUACUGGGCGUAAAGCGCGCGUAGGCGGCUUUGCAAGUCGGGUGUGAAAUCCCCAGGCUUAACCUGGGAACUGCAUUCGAGACUGCAUUGCUAGAGUAUGGGAGAGGGAAGUGGAAUUUCCGGUGUAGCGGUGAAAUGCGUAGAUAUCGGAAGGAACAUCAGUGGCGAAAGCGACUUCCUGGACCAAUACUGACGCUCAUGUGCGAAAGCGUGGGGAGCAAACAGG